GGGGAUCUGGUUUAGGGUAAAAUGCUUCUUUAGCAUAGAAGCGGUCCGGGGUUCGAUUCCCGCGUCUCCA
Molecule: transfer RNA, 70 nt
Filed under: Morchella conica CCBAS932
Lineage: Eukaryota; Fungi; Ascomycota; Pezizomycetes; Pezizales; Morchellaceae
Rfam family: tRNA
About the family: Transfer RNA (tRNA) molecules are approximately 80 nucleotides in length. Their secondary structure includes four short double-helical elements and three loops (D, anti-codon, and T loops).
Source: Rfam by way of RNAcentral